RNAcentral lists this ribosomal RNA (466 nucleotides) under uncultured bacterium. Its description in RNAcentral is "bacterial SSU rRNA". It matches the Rfam family "Bacterial small subunit ribosomal RNA", at positions 338 to 795 of the family's 1533-position model. The record is from RNAcentral.
CCUACGGGUGGCACCAGUGGGGAAUAUUGCACAAUGGGCGCAAGCCUGAUGCAGCCAUGCCGCGUGUAUGAAGAAGGCCUUCGGGUUGUAAAGUACUUUCAGCGGGGAGGGAGGCGAUAAGGUUAAUAACCUUGUCGAUUGACGUUACCCGCAGAAGAAGCACCGGCUAACUCCGUGCCGGCAGCCGCGGUAAUACGGAGGGUGCAAGCGUUAAUCGGAAUUACUGGGCGUAAAGCGUACGCAGGCGGUCUGUCAAGUCGGAUGUGAAAUCCCCGGGCUCAACCUGGGAACUGCAUUCGAAACUGGCAGGCUGGAGUCUUGUAGAGGGGGGGUAGAAUUCCAGGUGUAGCGGUGAAAUGCGUAGAGAUCUGGAGGAAUACCGGUGGCGAAGGCGACCCCCUGGGCAAAGACUGACGCUCAGGUGCGAAAGCGUGGGGAGCAAACAGGAUUAGAUACCCCAGUAGUC